GUGCCAGCAGCCGCGGUAAUACGAAGGGGGCUAGCGUUGCUCGGAAUUACUGGGCGUAAAGCGCACGUAGGCGGACUUUUAAGUCAGGGGUGAAAUCCCGGGGCUCAACCCCGGAACUGCCUUUGAAACUAGAAGUCUUGAGUUCGAGAGAGGUGAGUGGAAUUCCGAGUGUAGAGGUGAAAUUCGUAGAUAUUCGCAAGAACACCAGUGGCGAAGGCGGCUCACUGGCUCGAUACUGACGCUGAGGUGCGAAAGCGUGGGGAGCAAACAGGAUUAGAUACCCUAGUAGUCC
RNAcentral lists this ribosomal RNA (292 nucleotides) under Salinicola sp. MH3R3-1. RNAcentral's name for it is "partial 16S ribosomal RNA". It matches the Rfam family "Bacterial small subunit ribosomal RNA", at positions 505 to 796 of the family's 1533-position model. Lineage: Bacteria; Pseudomonadati; Pseudomonadota; Gammaproteobacteria; Oceanospirillales; Halomonadaceae. The record is from RNAcentral.